GGACUCUGACUCAGCUCCUCCCUGAUGUCCACCUGUUGCGAUUUGCAAAAUCCCGAAACAGUUUGGGGGUGCAGAGGUCGCUUCCAUGAGAAGAAGGAAAUUAAAAUUUCCUCCCAGCAGGAGUGAUGGGAAGUCCAGGAUCAGAAGUUGAGGUGAGUUUUAGAAAUUUUAAUUAUUAUUUUUUGCACAGUUAUGUUUGUGGUUUGACAGACUACAAACUUACUGCUAAAAGAGUAAGUCUCCUGUAGAAUGUUGUUCCUGGAAUUGUGUGGCACAUGGCCCUAAUCAUCUGUUAAUGUAGGCCAAGUUUUUCCCUGUUGCAGUACAUUUCCUUGGUCUUUCUCGAAAUGGUUGAAGAGGAGAAGUCAAUUGCCAUUAUCCUGUAGGAGGCCGAAGGACUGAUUUACUCUAAUCAAUUUGAAACCAUGUAAAUCAUGACAUCCGAUGAAUAGUACCUUCUGGUUUCUCGUUUAAGAUUUUUUUCAUUGCCUUCCAUAUUUAAUCUUUUUCGUGGUAAAUUUCAAGAGUAUACAGUAUUAUUAACUAGAGUCAUUAUGCCGUAUCAUUUAAGAUUUAAAAGCAGUCUUCUAUAAUAGAACAAUGUGAAGAAAGAGACUCCUUCCCCUCCCCCCUCCCUUCAUCCUCCCUCUUUCUUCUUUUGUCAACGGGUGAGGAUCAGUAGUAGCUCAGAAUCCAGAAGUCACUGUUAAUUGCUAAUUGUCACAAAGUUGGCUUCUGUUCAUCUUCUGCUUUCUAGAUGUUAGCUUGUCCUUGUUGUGGCAGCAGGGGGCCAUCAUGUUUGGAUAAUUUGCUCUUCUAUUGAUCUCCUCUGUUAAUUUCCAUGAUAGUUAGCAUUUACUCAAUAUUAAUAACCGUUCUAAAAGGACAGCACCUCAUACUUAAAAGUAUGUGAUGCCACUGUGUCACUGGAUUCCACUUUUAUCUCAAAAGAGUUAUUAAAUGCUGCUGGGUCAGCUUUGACAUGCUUAGUGAGGAAAAAAAGAACAGAGAAAAUAAACCUACAUAAUGGGUCUGUGGUUAUUAAAAAAAAAAAAGCAACAUGGUUGGGGGUCUCUCAGGAAUCACACAUUUAUUUACUCUGCCUCUCACUCUACCUUUCGGACUUGUCAAAUCUUUUUCAUUUUUUCAAUUACACAUCUACGAAUCCCAAGAAAAAUAACAAACCCUAAGCCUAGAAAUCUGCUAAAAUUCUCAAAAAAGAAACAAAGUGAAAGGAAGGUGGGACAGAAACUGAAAUGACUGUUUUCAGCUCACUAUUCUGUGAGCUUCUGUUUUGGGAAGGAUGGCAUGGUUUCAUAACAAUUUCGGGUCAGUAGUUCAUAUUGCUCUUCUAAAGCUCAUCCCUCAAUUGGUUAUGUGUUCAUUUACAGUUGUCCUCAAAGUUCCCUAUACAUCCAUAAAUGUCUAUUCAGCAAAAUUGGCAGAUAUAAAUUCCCAGUCAUUAAACGUGUUCAAAAACACAUUUUACAAACUAAUCAUGUAUUUCAGAUUAGCUCAUUUUUCCUGAUAAAAUAGAUGCUAGACAUGCACAUUUUAUGCCAUCAUCAUCUCCAUUGAUUCCUGACGGAAAUAGUAGGGAUCCAAUAGUGUGGAAUACAAUUAAAUAAAACAAUUUCAAAUGGAUGGAGGAGGGCAUUUUGUCCUAAUGCGAAUCACUUUAUUCUAGUGAAACCUAUUGCACACAUAUAUUUAUUAGCCAUUCACAUAUCCCCUAGGCACUAAUGUGCCAUGUAAAACAUAGUGAUGGGCUGAGAAGUAUCCCAUGCUAUUGUACUCAAAGGUAAUUAACACCUAAAUCCUGGAAACGAUGCACUGAGUAGGCGGUAAACCAGGUUAGAUAUGAGAGCUGACAACAUAAUCUACUGGGCAGCACGUCUGGGUGGGAACCAUGUUUAUAAACUCCAUUCCAGGCAGCCCUCUCCUGAAAGUCAACUCAGUUUCGCCAGCAUUCAACAUUGAGAGAAAUGCUUGGGAAGAGAGAAUAUUGGUGAAGGUUCCCAAGGCCUUAUUGUAUCGGACCUCCUCCAUGCCUCCACGUGGUUCUGAAAUGCAUUUGGGGAAUCUCCAGCCUUAAAACCUUUACAAUAUCUGAGAAUUUGGGUUACCUCCAUAAGGUGAUGUGAAUUAGAGUCUAGAGUAAGUUAAUGCCAAUACAUCGUAUUUAUAUCAUGAUAUUUGGAUUUGUACAAUCUAUAUGACUGCCUGCCUACUUUUUUGUAGAUCUCAAUAUUUGCAUUUGUUAAUUUUUGAUAGUUAAGUCUUAAGUCAGGAAUUUUGAGUUAAACUUUGAGGUGAGAGGAAAAAUAGGAACUACUUAGCCAAACACGAGCAGAGCCGAGUGUUCUCAAGGCUGACUGUAUAUUAACAUCACCUGAGAGAUUUUCAAAACUGCUGAAUCCUUGGCUCCCUUCCAAACCAAUUAAAUCAGACUUGCUUAAGAGGCUUGGGCGUCAGCAUUUUACAAAGUUAUUCAAAUGUUUCUGAUAUGUAGCUGAAGUUGAGACCCACUGGAAAAAGUCACCCAACAAGUGAGAAGGGGAGCUAUCUCUUGGCUAUGGCAGAGUCUGGGGAAUAGGACAAAAACUGCUUAAAGAGCAAUGCAGUUGCCCCAGGAGCAAUUCUGUGUAAAAGGAAAAGCUGGAGAGCCAAUUAGAACUUGAGGGAAUGAAGCAGGAGGCUUCUAAGAUUAACAGGUGGAGAAGGACUUGAUCUGGCAAGAGGCCGAGGCAAAGUUCCACGGCUGUGAUGUCCAGAGGGUCGUCAUCUCAGACAUAUCCUAUUCUGUUGACUGUAAUCACCAAUCUGCAGAGGAAUCAACAAAUCCUGUAUUAAAGGAGCUUUUGAGGGAGUUCCUGUUGUGGCUCAGUGGAAACAAAUCCAACUAGCAUCUAUGAGGACGCAGGUUCCAUCCUUGGCCUCACUCAGUGGGUUAAGGAUCUGGCCUUGCAGUGAGCUGGGGCUCAGAUUGCAGACAAGGCUUGGAUCUGGCAUUGCUGUGGCUGUGGUGUAGGCCAGUCCGAUUAGACCCCUAGUCUGGGAAACUUUCUAUGCUGUGGGUGUGGUCCAAAAAAAAAAAAGGAGCUUUUGAGCUCUCCAAGCAUUGCUCUUCAGAUGUUAGCCCUGAGGAGAGGUAGGAGAGGAAAAAGGUACAUUCAAUGAGCCACUGUUUAUUAUCCUGUGGGAGAUAUAAAUAAAUACAGGACGUGGCCCCUGCCUCCUAUAAACAUACUUCUGAUGAAUUGGGAAGCUUCUCAUGUUCCUUAUUAUUGCACAUGUUCACUUUCAAGUCAUUUUCAUGCCCUUCUUCUUCAAUACAAUGUAAGAACUAUUUAAACACAGUCAGUGACUAGUUGCCAUGGAGUGGGUCAGAUGUUAAGUGCUGUGAUUUUAGACAAAGGAGAGCUCACUGUGGUCAGGGCUGCCCUGGGAGAAGCCUUCAGAGGGGGCUUAGACCUAAGCUGGGCUUGAUGGCUGAUGUGGCUGUAGAUGAGUGACAGGAGGGUGAUCUUGGUCCUGGGGCUGCAGAUGCCUUUCUCUGGUGUCACUGUUGUCCUUUGGGAUAGUCAGAGACAGGUCUGGUUUGCUGACACUCGGGAGGCCUCAGCUGUUCCAGCAUCUCUUGAAGCGAGGACACCACAUGCGAGCCAGCUUCCACAAAAGGCUCUCCACAUGUCAUUCACAGGCUGUGUGCACCACACACACCUAUCACCAUCACUCCUAGCAGCCUUUACCAGGCCAAAGCAAUCGGCAUUUUAUCUCAAGGAGCACCAAAUCUGAGAAGGUAGUUGGAAAAAGAAUAAAUGAUUUAUUGAUAUUAUGAUAUAUGACAAAGUGACAUUUUAUGUUUCCAGACUUUGUAGGCCACCUGGUGGGCACUUAAAUUCAUUAAAAGCUAAUGUUCUGGCAGAGGUUAGCUGCUAUGAAUGAGACUGAUCAGGAAUGGGAUAAAUGAGAGGGAUCCAGUAUGGGGAGUAACUCGGGGGAGGGGGCACAGGGAGAGGCGGGAUGCCAAGAGGAAGGAGGGGCACUCAAAAGGCAGCGGGAGACAGCCAACAGAUGCUAUCUGUUGGCUCCAUGGUUUUCCUGAAGACUGUCUUUGUUAGGAUGGCCCUGGAGUCUCCCCAGAGCUGCCACUUACCAAGACUGGCUGUGCAUUGGCAUGGCCCACAGAACUACCCACACUCAGCAUCACUGAGAUGGAACCCAGGGAUGUCCAACGCCUAUGUAUUUAUUUAAAGUAUACCAGUGUUGUGGAAAGCUUUAUCCUUUGUUAUUUUUUGGUAUGCCUUCAGCAAUGUUUUAAAUUGAAGUCUGGUUGAUUUACAAUGUUUCAAGUAUACAGCAAAUUGAUUCAGUUUUAUACCUCCACCUAUCUGUCUAUUAUUUUUCAGUCUUUUCCAUUAUAGAUUAUUAGAACAUACUAUUUGAAUAUAUUGCCUGUGCUAUACAGUAGGCUUUUGUUGUUUAUUUUUUAUAUAUGGUAAUAGGUAUCCGUUAAUCCCAAUUCCCAAUUUAUUCCUCUUUGGUAGACGUAAAUUUGUCUUCUGUGAGUCUAUUUCUGUUUUGUAAAUAAGUUCAUAUGCAUCAUUUCUUUUUAGAUGCCACAUGUAAAGGAUAUAUGAUUUUUGCCUUUGACUUACUUCACUUCAUAUGAUAAUCUCUAGGUCCAUCCAGGUUGCUACAAAUGGCAUUAUCUCAUGAUUUUUUUAUGGCUGAGAAACGUACAACUUUUAAAGGCCACAGACAGCACUGAAGUGCAGGCACACGGUGUUGCAGAACAGACAUUGUAGGAAAGGCCUGGGAUGGAUUUUUGGAGGCCUACCCACCUGCAGGGUCAUCUUAGGCACCCUGGAGUCUACAGAGUAAAGAAUCCCAAGGUUCUAGACAGUGGCUAUCAAAACCCAACGUGCAUAAGUAUAGCCUGUUAAGGGAAGGUAUCUGGGUGCCAGACCCUAGGUUUAUGAUUCAGUACAUCUUAGGUUCAGGCCAGGAACCUGUGUCUUUCACAGGCUCCCCAGAUGAUUCUGAUGCAGGUGGUUCAAGGACCACAGUCUGAGAAACACCAUGCUGGGGGUUGCCAGGGCGUGGGUCGUGGACCACCUUGCCACAGGCUGGGUGUCUGCUGACCGGUAGAGAAGCCAGGUGACCCGGCAGGCUGAGUCCUGGAGGAAGACUUCCUUUUUCCAUGUGGGCAGUGCAGAAUGAGCCCUGUUCCUGCCACACAGGACCUGGCCCCCUUGCUGGCAGGCAUUUCUCUUUUCCUCCUCCUCUUUGUAAAGAAGAAAAUAUGUUAGCCUCUCGAUGGAUCAGACUGAUGUUGGAGGGUUGUCGGCUGAGCAGAGGAGAUGGGUUAUGUCACAAACUCAUGGGGGUUUCUCUUGAGUUUUACUUGGUCAUGCUUUCAUUUAGGGUAAUUUGAGUUUCUUUCUAGAAAUAAUUUUUUUUAGUGUCAAGAUAGAUUUCUGGGUAGGCAAUGUUAUUGUUUUUAUUGAAUAUUUCUUUUAAUACCAAUAGUAAAGUGACUUGGGGGUAUAUAUAAAGAACAAAAAGCCAUUUAAAAAUAUCUUGAAAUCUUCAUGACAGGUAAGAAAGGUUUUUUUUCUUAUUUAAUGUCUUAUGUUGUGUAUAUGCAUUGAAUAUACACAACUGUUAUGAGCCUCUGUAAAACCUCUAACAAAGAGAAAAUUAAAGCCCAGUAGAUGGCACUGUUUGCUACUUUUUACAAGUUAAUGCCGCUGAUUCCCCUCACCCCCAAAUCUAUUUGUUUUUACAAUAAUAUAAAUCCAACCUCCAUUUUAAAAAAGCACUUCUUACGAGAAGCCCAAUCAUUAUGUCCUUUUCUGGACCUACACUGAGUAACUCUUGUCACAAUUUAUUAAAUAGAAAAGUACUUAAGGAUUAUUAAUCUUGUUUUGAGUGUAGAAUGCAUUUAACUUGCUCCUUUUCCCUCAGUGCUGCUGAGGCAGCUGUAUUUCUCCUCCCCCACCCGCCCCCAUACACUCCACAGAUGCUCCUUCUUUAAAAAAAUGUAGGUUAAAAAUCAAUUUCAAGCCAGAACUGCACUUGUGCAUAAAUGAAAUUAUGUUUGUAUUUGGAUUAUACCUGGCUGUUCGCUAACAUAAUUUUUUCCAAACAGUAGAAUACAUUUAUGAACAAACCCUUCACUGUGUCCUUUGACACAAGAAAGAGCUGAUGUGUGAUGCAUGUGGGCUGGUUGCUGAGAUCAGAAGGGGCACUGGUGUGGGCUUUGGGGUCCCAGUCCCAACUUUAUUCAUAGGACCCUGGGUCCAGUAUUGAACUUUUCUGAGCAUCAUCGUUGCCAUGUGUACACUUGUGAAAACAGUGUCUACUCCAUAGGGAUAUUAUGAAAAUAAAACUGGAUAAUGUAAACUUUCAGUGCAAUGCAUGAUCCGUAACUGGUACUCAACUAGUGGAAUCUGUUCUUUAGGUUGUUACAUCAAACUUUAUCUUCUAGAAUGGAGCCUGCCUGACACAAAACUUUCUUAAAAAAAAAAAAAAAAA
Molecule: long non-coding RNA, 6543 nt
Filed under: Sus scrofa (pig)
Lineage: Eukaryota; Metazoa; Chordata; Mammalia; Artiodactyla; Suidae
Description: lncRNA (ENSSSCG00065050839.1)
Source: RNAcentral